Molecule: ribosomal RNA, 971 nt
Filed under: uncultured bacterium
Lineage: Bacteria
Description: bacterial SSU rRNA
Rfam family: Bacterial small subunit ribosomal RNA
Source: RNAcentral
GAUGAACGCUGGCGGCACGCUUAACACAUGCAAGUCGAACGAGGUCCAUGGAGCUUGCUCCGGAAGACCUAGUGGCGAACGGGUGCGUAACACGUGAGAAAUCUGCCCCGGACUCUGGAAUAACAGUUGGAAACGACUGCUAAUACCGGAUGCCUUCAUUUGGCCGCAUGGUCGUUUGAAGAAAGAUUUAUCGGUUUGGGAGGAUCUCGCGGCCUAUCAGCUUGUUGGAGAGGUAACGGCUCACCAAGGCAUCGACGGGUAGCUGGUCUGAGAGGAUGACCAGCCACACUGGAACUGAGACACGGUCCAGACUCCUACGGGAGGCAGCAGUGGGGAAUCUUGCACAAUGGGCGAAAGCCUGAUGCAGCGAUGCCGCGUGCGGGAAGAAGGCCCUAGGGUUGUAAACCGCUUUCAGGAGGGAAGAAAAUGACGGUACCUCCAGAAGAAGGUGCGGCCAACUACGUGCCAGCAGCCGCGGUGACACGUAGGCACCAAGCGUUAUCCGGAUUUAUUGGGCGUAAAGAGCUCGUAGGCGGUUUGGUAAGUCGGGUGUGAAAACUCUGGGCUCAACCCAGAGAGGCCACUCGAUACUGCUAUGACUAGAGUACGGUAGGGGAGCGGGGAAUUCCUGGUGUAGCGGUGAAAUGCGCAGAUAUCAGGAGGAACACCAGCGGCGAAGGCGCCGCUCUGGGCCGUAACUGACGCUGAGGAGCGAAAGCAUGGGUAGCAAACAGGAUUAGAUACCCUGGUAGUCCAUGCCGUAAACGUUGGGCACUAGGUGUGGGUCUCAACCAACGAGAUCCGCGCCGUCGCUAACGCAUUAAGUGCCCCGCCUGGGGAGUACGGUCGCAAGACUAAAACUCAAAGGAAUUGACGGGGGCCCGCACAAGCAGCGGAGCGUGUUGCUUAAUUCGAUGCAACGCGAAGAACCUUACCUGGGUUUGACAUGUAGGGAAAAGCUCUAGAGAUAG